Molecule: ribosomal RNA, 253 nt
Filed under: uncultured bacterium
Lineage: Bacteria
Description: partial 16S ribosomal RNA
Rfam family: Bacterial small subunit ribosomal RNA
Source: RNAcentral
UACGGGGGGGGCAAGCGUUGUUCGGAAUUACUGGGCGUAAAGGGCUCGUAGGCGGCCAACUAAGUCAUACGUGAAAUCCCUCGGCUUAACCGGGGAACUGCGUCUGAUACUGGAUGGCUUGGAUUCGGGAGAGGAAUGCGGAAUUCCAGGUGUAGCGGUGAAAUGCGUAGAUAUCUGGAGGAACACCGGUGGCGAAGGCGGCAUUCUGGACCGACAUUGACGCUGAGGAGCGAAAGCCAGGGGAGCAAACGGG